This 403-nucleotide ribosomal RNA is filed under the name uncultured bacterium. Its description in RNAcentral is "partial 16S ribosomal RNA". It matches the Rfam family "Bacterial small subunit ribosomal RNA", at positions 29 to 526 of the family's 1533-position model. The record is from RNAcentral.
AUUGAACGCUGGCGGCAGGCCUAACACAUGCAAGUCGAGCGAGCGGCGGACGGGUGAGUAAUGUAUGGGGACUGCCCGAUAGAGGGGGAUAACUACUGGAAACGGUGGCUAAUAACGCAUACUAUCGGAUAACCCAUAUGGGAUUAGCUAGUCGGUGGGGUAAAGGCUCACCUAGGCGACGAUCUCUAGCUGGUCUGAGAGGAUGAUCAGCCACACUGUGACUGAGAAACGGCCCAGAGUCCUACGGAGUCAGCAGGGGGAAAUAUUGCACAAAGGGCGAAAGCCUGAUGCAGCCAGGCCGCGUGUAUGAAGAAGGCCUUAGGGUGGUAAAGUACUUUCAGCGGGGAGGCGUUACGCGCAGAAGAAGCACGGGCGAACUCCGUGCCAGCCGCCGCGGUAAUAC